GCCUACCUUGCUCCUACAUAUUGGGAACUGGAAAAGCGUGUGAGGCCGGGGAGUUCAAGGGGGGUUUCUCAGGGGCGGCGACGGGGAGGGGGAUGUCGAGGGGUGGGGGGUGGGGGCAGCGAAUACGCGGGAAAGGGACACACAAAGAGAUUGCUCUGACGGCACACACACGGCGCUGUGCACGCGUGCGCCGGGAUGCAAUUGCUAACGCGCGCCGCUGUACUGCAGCAGCAUUCCGGGUGCACCGUAGGUGCCUGCCGUACACUUCGUAACCAUUUUCGCAGCAUACAGGCGGGCGUGCGAGAGGGAAGGAUAGAUCUUUGAGAAGGAGGGGAAGUACAGGGACUUUCCGGUUGGGUUUGUGUGAAGAGUUUGUGUUUUCCAUCUCCUUUCAUGUCUGCACUUGGUGGGGGCGUGGAUACAGCCCCUCUCUCUCUCUCUCUCUCUCUCUCUUCCCGCCCGCGCGCAUGUGCGCACAUUUCCCUCGCUACAUAAUCAGGGCCUGUGUUCGUCUGUAAGUAUGUGCGGCCCCGCGGCCCCAAGUGCCACUUCCAAUUCAGUUCACGUAGUAAUCAUCAGUCCACGGGGGCCGCAUUUUUGGGUCCGAUGCCGGGCUUAUCUUGUGCCAACUGCCAACCGCAAGCCGCCGAAGUCUUCGUGUAUCGUGUGCCCAUACUGCUCUUUCGCAACAACCAACUUGCCCACCAAAGUCGAAUUCCUAAUCCCUCUCAUCGCCCGCGCCUUAUUGUGCAGACGUAUGUGUGCGUAUGUGCCAUACAUGUGUGUUUUCGUAACCCGACACGUUCCCCUUACCUUACCCUCCUCUUCCCACAUCACCCAUCCUCUCCCUCUUUCGAGUCCAGCCCAUUAUGCCUUCAAAAUGGUCCCUCUCCCUUCCUUUAACCCCAGGGCCCCUCGCCUUUACGUCUUGCGUAUGAUUUCCUUCCCUCCUACUUUCCCUCUUUCUUCUUGGUGCUGUCUAAGCUCCUUCGCACGUCUGCGGUCCUUCGGGUCGUGUGGACGUUGCAAUGGCUGGCUGGGUAACACACACCCUCACGCCCCUCUCCCCCCCCGGAUAGGGGGAGAGUGCUUUGGCGGUCGUUCCCAUUGGGGUAUACGGUUAGGUGCCCCUGGCCAGUGUCAGCCCCGGAUCGAUGACAUACAUACAUACAUACAUACAUACAUACAUACAUACAUACAUACAUACAUACAUACAUACAUACAUACAUACAAACAAACAAACAAACAUACAUACAUACAUACAUACGGUUCUACCCCCAUGUCGCCCCACCACCUUGCGGACGCCCUUCGGCAGGCACGACAGCACGUCAACGAGCUCGCGGAGGGCGCUGCCCGACUGGGGCUGCAACUGCCGGAUACGGUGUACGCCUUCAAUCUGUACGACGAACCGAUUUGCCGUUCAGUGAGCCGCUGUGUCGUACCCGUGUUUUCGGUGCACAAGCGCUUCAACACGACUAUUAACAGGCAAGCAUUUCAUGAACGCAUGGCAUGUACGGAAGCACAGCGUGAUUGCGUACCAGUACGGCCUUGAUGUUGAUGCACGUUGGAAAGCAUGCCCCCCAGGGGACUUCAAUUGAGUCAGCACCGCGGGGACUUCUUCUUGAUGAUGAUGAUGAUGAUGAUGAUGAUGCCUCCCUGGCUUUUUCCUUAAACUAAAAAAAAUCCUUCCUUUUGGAAUUCUCCAUUCCGCGCCGUGCAUUCGGCUUUGUGUGUUUUUUAGCCAGGCCUUCCUCCUGACCCUAUGACCCCUCUCCCCUCUUUCGCCAUGUGUUGUGAUACCCGUUUGUGGAUGUAGGAGUUACGACAAUGACGUUCUGCUGCCCCAUCUGGGUCAUUCGUACAACCGGUUGAUAUUCUUCCCCUGGCACCAGAAGGACUCCCUGGCGCUCUUGAGGGCUACCAUGCAGGUGGGCGCUAUGUGUAGGGGGGGCCCUAUGCGUGUGUGUGUGUCUGUGUCUGUGUU
RNAcentral lists this long non-coding RNA (1984 nucleotides) under Volvox carteri. RNAcentral describes it as "long non-coding RNA (VCAR_LNC004174)". Lineage: Eukaryota; Viridiplantae; Chlorophyta; Chlorophyceae; Chlamydomonadales; Volvocaceae. The record is from RNAcentral.